Molecule: ribosomal RNA, 415 nt
Filed under: uncultured bacterium
Lineage: Bacteria
Description: bacterial SSU rRNA
Rfam family: Bacterial small subunit ribosomal RNA
Source: RNAcentral
GCAGGCCUAACACAUGCAAGUCGAGCGCCCCGCAAGGGAGCGGCGGACGGGUGAGUAACGCGUGGGAACGUGCCUCUUGCUACGGAAUAGCCUCGGGAAACUGGGAGUAAUACCGUAUGUGCCCUACGGGGGAAAGAUUUAUCGGCAAGGGAUCGGCCCGCGUUGGAUUAGGUAGUUGGUGGGGUAAUGGCCUACCAAGCCGACGAUCCAUAGCUGGUUUGAGAGGAUGAUCAGCCACACUGGGACUGAGACACGGCCCAGACUCCUACGGGAGGCAGCAGUGGGGAAUCUUAGACAAUGGGCGCAAGCCUGAUCUAGCCAUGCCGCGUGAGCGAUGAAGGCCUUAGGGUUGUAAAGCUCUUUCAGUGGGGAAGAUAAUGACUGUACCCACAGAGAAGCCCCGGCUAACUCCGUG